UAGGGAUCUCACCCUUAGCUAGUCCGUCUUCGCUCCACCCCCAAUUCCUAGCUUCACCGCUCACGAGUGCCCAGUGAUAGCUGACUUCCUCCCAAUAUUUCGGUCUUCCCUGCUGCUGAAUUUUCUUCCACAAAUCCAGAAUCACAAAUACCCAUUUCUCUCUCUUCCCGCAAGCGAAUCCUCUUUGCCUUAAAUUCAAGGUUUCUUUUUACCUAAGACUUGUAGAAAUGUACUUUCUUCUAGUAACUUAACAAUCAGAUUAUAAAACUGUUAGGAACAUCACCAUUAUCGGAAUCCCAUAGUUAAUUUCUUCACUCAGUUGGUCACAUCUAACUUUAAGACCAGCAAAGACUUUCAUUUGGCAAAAGGAGAAGUCUGAACCAAGGUCUGAGUAUGCUGUCGGGCUGGUCAGCUAAGUCUACACCCAUACUGGGUACCCAGUUGUUAUAUUUACCCAGCGUGUCUACGAAUUGUAUCAGAAAAGGUGGCUCCAAUGAGCUCAGUCUGCCAUGAGUUGUAGAUUCUUCUGGCUCUGCUAUGUGGGACACCACCUCAGCACGGCCUGAUGAGUGGUGCCAUGGCUGCACCCAGGAUCCUAACCAGUGAAACCCUGGGCUGCCCAAGCAGAGCGCGUGAACCCAACCACUCGGCCACAGGGCUGGCCUCAGCAACCACUUCUUUGAUUUUUUUUCCCUUGGAUUAGUGCCUCUUCUAGAACUUUAUACUCUUUUAUGUCUGGCUUCUUCUCAGUAUAAUGUCUGUGGGAUUCAUCCAGGUUGUUGGAUUAGUCUGUUCCUUAUAAUUGCUAUCACUACUACAAUAUGUUUAUC
This 830-nucleotide long non-coding RNA is filed under the name Equus asinus (donkey). RNAcentral's name for it is "lncRNA (ENSEASG00005033319.1)". The record is from RNAcentral. Lineage: Eukaryota; Metazoa; Chordata; Mammalia; Perissodactyla; Equidae.